RNAcentral lists this ribosomal RNA (460 nucleotides) under uncultured Sphingobacteriales bacterium. RNAcentral's name for it is "bacterial SSU rRNA". It matches the Rfam family "Bacterial small subunit ribosomal RNA", at positions 920 to 1382 of the family's 1533-position model. The record is from RNAcentral. Lineage: Bacteria; Pseudomonadati; Bacteroidota; Sphingobacteriia; Sphingobacteriales.
CCCGCACAAGCGGAGGAGCAUGUGGUUUAAUUCGAUGAUACGCGAGGAACCUUACCUGGGCUCAAAUGUAUGUUGACGUAUUCUGAAAGGGAUACUUCUUCGGACAAUAUACAAGGUGCUGCAUGGUUGUCGUCAGCUCGUGCCGUGAGGUGUCGGGUUAAGUCCCAUAACGAGCGCAACCCCUAUCAUUAGUUGCCAUCAGGUCAAGCUGGGGACUCUAAUGAAACUGCCUACGCAAGUAGUGAGGAAGGUGGGGAUGACGUCAAAUCAGCACGGCCCUUACGUCCAGGGCUACACACGUGCUACAAUGGCCGGUACAAAGGGCAGCUACCUGGUGACAGGAUGCUAAUCUCAAAAGCCGGUCUCAGUUCGGAUCGGAGUCUGCAACCCGACUCCGUGAAGCUGGAAUCGCUAGUAACGGCGCAUCAGCUACGGCGCCGUGAAUACGUUCCCGGGUCUU